ACACGAUACCGGAUUCGUAUUGUACCGGAUUGGCUGAGCAAUUUGAUACGCAAAAUGCACUCAUCUUACCCAAGGACGGAUUCGUGAGACGCAACAUAAUUAAGUUCAUAAUUCGACCCAGUACUUGUACGUGCAAGUAAUAACAGCGAUAGUUUAUAACAUUGGCCGUUCUAAGUUGCCAAAUUGGAACGUAUCGGAUUCGAGGAUACACGACAGCAAAACUUAUCGGAUCGGCUUUCAUACCACUUUGUGAGAGGAGUCAAAUCGCUCCGGAAAAAACGAUACAAAGCCUUUAAGAUAGCAGCAGAGCCGUAUGAACGCAGCCCUAUCUCGUACAAAAAGUAAUCCGGUAUCAAAUCAGUCCGGUAUCGUGUGAACAGGGCCUCGGAAUUGCGCGAGUAUAUGUCGUACAUCUUUUUAGGUUUCCGAAGGAGUUCGUAGAUCUGCAAACGCAAUUUUUCCAACAGUCAGCAUCUGUUUUUGUUGCUAAAUUUAGCAUGUUGAGCAUCAGUCGAGUGAUCCUAGGGAAUCGAAUGUAGAUGAUUUAGACACUCAACUAAUAAAAUAACUAUAUAAACUAUAUGAUAUUUAUUACAGACGCUAAUAUUGCGCGCGAGCAUAUAGCUACGAUCAUACAAUAAACACCUUUCAUUUAUUUCCUGCUAUUUUUCUGGUAUUUGCCUUCAUAAAUUAACAUUGAAAGUCGUUAUUCUAAUCAGUGACAGAAGUUAGGCAAAGGUGGCCAGGAAUAUGUAAUUAUUUCUAAUUGCAGUCAUUAAACGUUUGUUACGACAACUAAGGAA
Xenia sp. Carnegie-2017 is the source of this 803-nucleotide long non-coding RNA. RefSeq lists it as uncharacterized. The transcript is spliced from 2 exons. The record is from RefSeq and is a predicted model, not a curated record. Lineage: Eukaryota; Metazoa; Cnidaria; Anthozoa; Malacalcyonacea; Xeniidae.